AUAGAACAUAUUUGAGUCAUUGAAACUUUCAAAUGCACUCAGGUUUGCUCGGUUAUACAUCGCCCAUCCCGGUAGAUCGAAUUUACACAUGCAUAACCUUUGAUUUGGACAAGGGGCAUGUGAUCAAACAAUCAAACUUACUUAUGCAUAACUCACCGUCUUCUAAAUUAUUCUACUCAUCUUCUUUACCCGGUGGGAAACGAUCUUCGUGCGAAUCAUUUGCAAUGUAGUUUUCAAAUCUGAGAUACGACGGCUAAAUGCUGACAACUUAUUAACAACAACUGAGAGACCAUAACCGCCCUCGUAGGAGUUAUGGAUCAUUCAAGCAUUCACCUCAUAACCUCUUCGUGUGACUCGUCCCCCUUCUUGGCCUACAACCCGCCCCUCGAUUCGAG
This 395-nucleotide long non-coding RNA is filed under the name Hordeum vulgare. RNAcentral's name for it is "long non-coding RNA (HVUL_LNC014107)". The record is from RNAcentral. Lineage: Eukaryota; Viridiplantae; Streptophyta; Magnoliopsida; Poales; Poaceae.